This 392-nucleotide unclassified non-coding RNA is filed under the name soil metagenome. RNAcentral's name for it is "partial contains 5.8S ribosomal RNA, internal transcribed spacer 2, and large subunit ribosomal RNA". The stretch from base 1 to 122 matches the Rfam family "5.8S ribosomal RNA", at positions 35 to 154 of the family's 154-position model. The record is from RNAcentral.
GAUGAAGAACGCAGCGAAAUGCGAUACUUGGUGUGAAUUGCAGAAUCCCGUGAACCAUCGAGUCUUUGAACGCAAGUUGCGCCCGAAGCCAUUAGGCCGAGGGCACGCCUGCCUGGGCGUCACACGUCGUUGCCCCCCCAUCUACUCCUUCGGGAUUGCGGGGGGGCGGAUGAUGGCCUCCCGUGCGCCUCGCCGCGCGGUUGGCAUAAAUGCCAAGUCCUCGGCGACGCACGCCACGACAAUCGGUGGUGGCGAAACCUCGGUUGCCCGUCGUGUGCGGUCGUCGCGCAUCGAGGGCUCGAAAAAAUUGCCGGGUUCCGGCUCGGCUUUCAACGCGACCCCAGGUCAGGCGGGGUUACCCGCUGAAUUUAAGCAUAUCAAUAAGCGGAGGA